This 439-nucleotide ribosomal RNA is filed under the name uncultured bacterium. RNAcentral's name for it is "partial 16S ribosomal RNA". It matches the Rfam family "Bacterial small subunit ribosomal RNA", at positions 338 to 795 of the family's 1533-position model. The record is from RNAcentral.
CCUACGGGAGGCAGCAGUGGGGAAUAUUGCACAAUGGGCGAAAGCCUGAUGCAGCAACGCCGCGUGAGCGAUGAAGGCCUUCGGGUCGUAAAGCUCUGUCCUCAAAGAAGAUAAUGACGGUACUUGAGGAGGAAGCCCCGGCUUACUACGUGCCAGCCGCCGCGGUAAUACGUAGGGGGCUUGUGUUAUCCGGAAUUACUGGGCGAUAAGGGUGCGUAGGUGGUUUCUUAAGACAGAGGUGAAAGGCUACGGCUCAACCGUAGUGAGCCUGUGACAAUGGGAAACUUGAGUGCAGGAGAGGAGAGUGGAAUUCCUAGUGUAGCGGUGAAAUGCGUAGAUAUUAGGAGGAACACCAGUUGCGAAGGCGGCUCUCUGGACUGUAACUGACACUGAGGCACGAAAGCGUGGGGAGCAAACAGGAGUAGAUACCCCUGUAGUC